This 557-nucleotide ribosomal RNA is filed under the name uncultured bacterium. Its description in RNAcentral is "bacterial SSU rRNA". It matches the Rfam family "Bacterial small subunit ribosomal RNA", at positions 102 to 694 of the family's 1533-position model. The record is from RNAcentral.
ACGGGUGCGUAACGCGUGGGAAUCUGCCCUUUGGUUCGGAAUAACAGCUGGAAACGGCUGCUAAUACCGGAUGAUGACGAAAGUCCAAAGAUUUAUCGCCAGAGGAUGAGCCCGCGUUGGAUUAGGUAGUUGGUGGGGUAAAGGCCUACCAAGCCGACGAUCCAUAGCUGGUCUGAGAGGAUGAUCAGCCACACUGGGACUGAGACACGGCCCAGACUCCUACGGGAGGCAGCAGUGGGGAAUAUUGGACAAUGGGCGAAAGCCUGAUCCAGCAAUGCCGCGUGAGUGAUGAAGGCCCUAGGGUUGUAAAGCUCUUUUACCCGGGAAGAUAAUGACUGUACCGGGAGAAUAAGCCCCGGCUAACUCCGUGCCAGCAGCCGCGGUAAUACGGAGGGGGCUAGCGUUGUUCGGAAUUACUGGGCGUAAAGCGCACGUAGGCGGCUUUGCAAGUCAGAGGUGAAAGCCUGGAGCUCAACUCCAGAACUGCCUUUGAGACUGCAUCGCUUGAAUCCAGGAGUGGUCAGUGGAAUUCCGAGUGUAGAGGUGAAAUUCGUAGA